This 250-nucleotide ribosomal RNA is filed under the name uncultured bacterium. RNAcentral describes it as "partial 16S ribosomal RNA". It matches the Rfam family "Bacterial small subunit ribosomal RNA", at positions 355 to 621 of the family's 1533-position model. The record is from RNAcentral.
UAGGGAAUUUUCCACAAUGGGGGCAACCCUGAUGGAGCAACGCCGCGUGCAGGAUGAAGGUUUUCGGAUCGUAAACUGCUUUUAUUUGUGACGAUUAUGACAGUAGCAAAUGAAUAAGGGUCGGCUAACUACGUGCCAGCAGCCGCGGUCAUACGUAGGACCCAAGCGUUAUCCGGAAUUACUGGGCGUAAAGAGUUGCGUAGGUGGCAAGUUAAGUGAGCAGUGAAAUCGUGUGGCUCAACCAUACUCA